CUUAUACGGUUUUAAUUUUAUAUAUUUUCUUUUCAUUUAACAUACCUUAGUUUGAUUGGAAAUGAAAUUUAAGAAUAUAAAGUAGACUUUUGAAUUUUGUUUAUUGACAAGAAUGUAGCUAAAUCUUGUGGUUUUCAAUGUCAUUUCAUUUAUAUAAGGAUAUGUUAUUAAGUAUAAAUAGGAAUAUCAGAAUUAAAAUUUACCAAAUAUAACAAGUGAAGUAGAAUUUUGAAUUUUGAGAUAGCAUUUAAAAAAUGCCUUUGAAAAUACAACAACAACAACCCAGUAUAAUCCCACUUAAUGGGGUCUAGGGAGGGUAGUGUGUACGCAGACCUUACCCCUACCCUUGGGUAGAGAGGCUGUUCCCAAAUAGACCCCUGACAUCCUUCCCUCCUUUCAUUUAUAUAAGGAUAUGUUAUUAAGUAUAAAUAGGAAUAUCAGAAUUAAAAUUUACCAAAUAUAACAAGUGAAGUAGAAUUUUGAAUUUUGAGAUAGCAUUUAAAAAAUGCCUUUGAAAAUACAACAACAACAACCCAGUAUAAUCCCACUUAAUGGGGUCUAGGGAGGGUAGUGUGUACGCAGACCUUACCCCUACCAUGGGGUAGAUAGGUUGUUUCCAAAUAGACCUCCGGCAUCCUUUCCUCCAAGAACAUUUCACCUUGCUUUAGGGGAGACUCGAACUCACAACCUCUCGGUGGAAGUUUGGAAGUGGGGAUUGCUUACCAUCAGAACAACCCCUCUUGUCUAAUAUAAGUCAUAACAACAAUACAAUAUAAUAGCCAAAGCAGAGAAAAGAGUAAAACAAAGAACAUCACAGUAAAGGAACAUCCAGGAACAUCGAGUGACCUUAAAUCUCCAUAUCAGUAUUCCAAAUAUUCAUGAGGUCAUAGAAACAAAUCAAGCAAAACAAAAUAUGAUCUAGCUACUUACAAGGCAACAGAGCAACUUAAACCAUGAACACCUAUCAUAUAUAAUUAAUCACACCAUGAAUAAGAUCAAAGAGGACCAAGAAAUGAACCUGAAUGGGAAACUUCGAUUAAUUCUUCCCGGAAUCUCUUCAAACGAGUACAUAAAUGAUAAGUCAAACUGAAUCAGCUACACAACAACCGAAAUGAAACCGAGACAUCGAACCAAUGGUGAAUCUCGAAUCAGCAACGGAACGACGACCUCAAACCGUUUCUAAUAUCUCAGCUCCGAAUCUGUUCGUGUGCUUGACUGUGUGUGUGUUUUAUUUUUGUGGUGGUGAGGGAGCGUUGGUGAGGUGGGAUUUCCGGCGAGGGGUCGUUUGGGUUGAGGAGGCAGAACCUGGAGAUCCUUUUCGUGUCCUCUGCGCAGCCUCUUCUGUUAUCAGGCGUGUAUCAGUCUUCUCCCAAGGCUGCGCGACUGGUUUUCCGGCGAGGGGUCGUUUUGGUUAAAGAGUGGAGAAGACGACACACAGAGGGGGGGUCCUUCUCUCUAUCAAAGGAUACACGGAAACAUAAACUAAAACGUAUUAGUAUUGACAAUUCAAAGGUUAGACGCAUAAAUCUUGGAGUCCGGAACCUAAAUAUUGGAUUUUUGGACUUAAAAUACAUUAAAAGAAAGUUACAUAUGUAUGUAUAGCAUUUAAAUAGAAGACACUAUAUCUUAACGGUCACAAUAUAUAUAACGUAUGAAAACAAAACGCU
RNAcentral lists this long non-coding RNA (1667 nucleotides) under Nicotiana benthamiana. RNAcentral describes it as "long non-coding RNA (NBEN_LNC038565)". The record is from RNAcentral. Lineage: Eukaryota; Viridiplantae; Streptophyta; Magnoliopsida; Solanales; Solanaceae.